RNAcentral lists this ribosomal RNA (382 nucleotides) under uncultured Prevotella sp. RNAcentral's name for it is "bacterial SSU rRNA". It matches the Rfam family "Bacterial small subunit ribosomal RNA", at positions 119 to 501 of the family's 1533-position model. The record is from RNAcentral. Lineage: Bacteria; Pseudomonadati; Bacteroidota; Bacteroidia; Bacteroidales; Prevotellaceae.
AUCCACCUUCCGGUAACUCCGGUAUAGCCUUUCGAAAGAAAGAUUAAUCCCGGAUAGUAUGGUGAUUCCGCAUGGUUUUUCCAUUAAAGGAUUCCGGUUACCGAUGGGGAUGCGUUCCAUUAGGCAGUUGGCGGGGUAACGGCCCACCAAACCUACGAUGGAUAGGGGUUCUGAGAGGAAGGUCCCCCACAUUGGAACUGAAACACGGUCCCAACUCCUACCGGAAGCAGCAGUGAAGAAUAUUGGUCCAUGGGCGGAAGCCUGAACCAGCCCAGUAGCGUGAAGGAUGACUGGCCUAUGGGUUGGAAACUUCUUUUAUAAGGGAAUAAUUGCGGGUACGCGUACCCGUUUGCAUGUACCUUAUGAAUAAAGAUCGGCUAAC